RNA transcript from Polyodon spathula (Mississippi paddlefish), 2794 nucleotides. It is a transcript of the gene named coxsackievirus and adenovirus receptor-like, with no coding region annotated. The transcript is spliced from 9 exons. Lineage: Eukaryota; Metazoa; Chordata; Actinopteri; Acipenseriformes; Polyodontidae. The record is from RefSeq and is a predicted model, not a curated record.
AUGUUCGUUUGUGUUAGAAUGACACAGCAUGCCAGUGCUGGUAGACUGCUUGACCACAGUAUUGCAUUGGAUAGUGAUGCAACAGAACCAAGAACCACUCAAAUGCAUGACCAACAGCAUAAUAUAUUAAGGGACACGUUUUAAAAAUGCAAAGGACUUUUGGGUCUACUUGCUCCUUAGGAGUCUUUGUAAAUGUGAGCUUAAAGAUUUAUAAAGAUGCAGCUAAACAUUGAAGAAGAACUGUUUGCUGUUCGAAAAACCGGGUUCUCGUUUCCAAAAAAGUUAUUAAUCUUUAUUUUGGAAUCUAUUUUUAACCUUAAACUUUACAGGAAGUUUCAUCACAGCUAUGAUUAUUGCAAAUCUACCGAAGAGGAAAUACUGUUUACAGUUACAAUCUGCUGGAAGAUGUAUCUGUCACUAAUUUUCUUUUGCUUUACAGCUGCCUGCUGGCGUCUUUCAACAUCUCUGUAUUCCAGCCCUGAGUCACGGUAUCCCACAGGUUGAGAGGAAUGCUGGAGGCUGUGUUAUCCUGCCCUGCAAAUACAACCAGAGUGCUGUCGAGGGAGCUGAAGGAUCUAUUGACAUUGAAUGGACUGUCAGUAAUGUUGCUAACCCACUGAUCUGGCUGUCUGGGGGCAAGGUUUUUAAAAAGGUCCCAAGACUGAGCCCCAGGAUCUCUUUCAUGGCUCACAACAGCACCUCUGGAGAUGCCUCUGUGUGGAUUGUCUCCCUGACAGCAGAAGAUUCUGGGGUUUAUCGAUGUAAAGUGCGAAAAGGGGGAUACAGCAAUCAGAUUAAUGUUAAUGUCACAGUUUUAGAUAAAGAUAUGUUCGAUCCAGCUGUUAUCACAGAAAAUAUCACAGAGAUCCAGAGAAAUGUUGGAGAAAGCGUUAUUCUCCCGUGCGGAUAUAACAAGAGUGCCGCUGAGGGAGCUGAAGGGAAUGUUGUUAUUGAAUGGAGCGUCAGAAAUCAAGCUAACCUCACAAAAGUACUGAUAUGCCAAUCCACAGUCUAUGAAAGGAACCCAGGGAUGAGCCCCAGAAUCUCUUUAGUGUCUGACAGCAAUAUGACUGGAAAUGCUUCUGUGUCGAUUGUCUCCCUGACAACAGCAGAUUCUGGGCUCUAUCGCUGCACAGUGUGGAAAGGAUGGCACAUCUUGCAUCAGAAUUCCGUUAUCGUCACUGUUUUAGGUGGGGAGGCACCAGCAGCGGCUUUGCUAUCAGUAUAUAUCUCCAUCACUUUGGUUGUGUGCAUUGUAUUGAUCACCCUUUUGCUUCUGGGAUACUGUCAUUUCAGAACAGUAAGAAAUAACUCAGCAUCGUCCUUGAAUUAUAAGGAAAACGAACUGUAUGAAACUGUCCAAAGGCAUAAAUGAUACAAAGCAGCUCCUCCAGCGGUGUGAAGAGAAUUAACAGGAGAAGGAACAACCAGCAACACCACCAAAACAAAAGCUUUGAACUCUGUGUUGCCAUGGUCACCUUGGAACACAAACUCCCUGACAAUGCACAACCUACAGUGAGAAGUAUUGCAGGGCUGGAAUAGCCACCCUGAAUACACUUUUAAUAUAAGGACCCUUUACAGUGAUGGUUAUCACUGGUAUUGAAGAGAGCAGCACAGGCUUCCUGAACUGCAGGAACUCUAGUUUCUAGCGGCAUCUGAUUGUAAUUAAAAGUUCUUAGUAUCAUAAAACUGCUCAGGGGUUCCAUGCAAAACAAGGUAGCUCGAGAUCACAUGUACGGUAGUUAGACUGAAGGCUUAAAUAAUUAUUCUCUCCUGUCCCUGCAUGCAUAAUCGUACCAUGUUAGGUUUUCUGUCGAUGCUAUAGUUUAUAAUGUAUGCAUGUUCUUUCAGCAUCCUGGCAGGGCACCUUCUAGUACCCCAUAGAGUUCACAUUAACACUUUUAAAAAUGUAAAAUAAAACAAUUAUAACCAAAUGCAAUUGAUGAAUAAUAAAUGGGGCGUAGCUGAAAAAUGCAUAUGUGUAUAUCCAGUGUGGUGUUUGUCUCCGACACUGUGAUGAUUAAGCAUGUUUCUGAAUUGCCUGUCCUCGUGUUGAAGCCAGUGAGGCAUUCUGUCUUUGAAAUAGGAGAAGAGAGAACAUAGUCAAGAUAUUUGUCCCGGGCUGGCAACCCAAUGUGAGGAGAAUGCGAGAAGUACUAGCACUUCUGAAAAUACACUAAGUCAAUCUUCAGUACCAAUGCAUACAAAUGAGGAGAAAAGAGGAAUCGCUUUCAGUGCACUGCGCAGACGUACUGCAUGCUGGUUCCAGACAUUAAUGACAUGAUGAGGGGAUGCUGUGCCUGCCUUAGCUGCUAUUGUUUUAACACUUGUUUGCUGUGAAUCCAGUGAUCUUAUUACACAGUAAAGAAUAAAUAUCAGCUUGUGUAAAAUAGUGUGCCCUGAAAGAGCAAGAGAUAGAGAGACAGGAUGUCUCACUUACAGAUGUGAUGUGAACAGAUCAAUCAGCAGAUCUCUGACUAGCAUAUAAACAGCAAGGAGCUCUAGCAGUGUGCCUGCUGAGACUUCUCUAUUGAAUUGCAUCAAAUUAAAAGCUCAGCUGCUCAAUGUUGGGGGGAAAAUUUGUACAGGUCUUACAUAGUGAAGCAAAGCGAUGGUUCAGACAGGGAACUCACUUUUAACCACAGUUCAAAUCACGUCAACAUCAAGCAUAUUUUAGGCGCUUCCAAUACAAAUCGUUCAUUUCGAAUAGCUAGUAUCUUAUCAGUCUUUCGAUUACCUGUACAUUCAGUGAUUGACAGGGAAAGGAUUUAUAUCAUACCUCAAUCCAUUACGU